RNAcentral lists this long non-coding RNA (1347 nucleotides) under Ornithorhynchus anatinus (platypus). Its description in RNAcentral is "lncRNA (ENSOANG00000036189.1)". Lineage: Eukaryota; Metazoa; Chordata; Mammalia; Monotremata; Ornithorhynchidae. The record is from RNAcentral.
AUGAAUGAGAAGGUGGAGACAGAGAAGGAAAAGAGAACAAGAACUGUGGUAUUGGUUAAGUGCUCGCUCUGCGCCAAGCACUGUACCAAGCGCUGGGGUAGAGAGAUCCCCCAAGAUGAUGAGUUCAGAUGGAGUUUCCAUCCCGGAAGGGCCCGGCAGUGUAGGCGGCCGCUCGGGUUCCCAUUCAUUAGAAGCACUGUACUAAGCCCUUGGAAAGUACAAUUCACUUGGAAAGUACAAUUCCCUCAGCCCUGCCCCUGUCCUGCCUCUGCCCCUACCCUUACCCUUGUCCUGCCCCUGCCCCUGUCCUACCCCUGCCCCGCCCUGCCCCUGUCCCUGUCCCGUCCCUGUCUCUGUCCCUCCCCUGCUCCUGUCCUGUCCCGUCUCUGUUCUUCCUUUGCUCCUGUCCUGCCCCUGUCCUACCCCUGCCCCGUCCUUCCCCUGCUCCCGUCCUGCCCCUGCUCCUGUCCUCCCCCUGCCCCGUCCCUGUCCUGCUCCUGCCCCUGUCCUGCCCCUGCCCCACCCCUGCCCCUGCCCCUGUCCCUGUCCUGCCCCUGCUCCUGUCCUCCCCCUGUCCCGUCCCUGUCCUGCCCCUGCCUCUGUCCUGCCCCUGCCUCUGUCCUGCCCCUGUCCCUGCUCCUGUCCUCCCCCUGCCCCAUCCCUGUCCUGUCCCUGCCCCGUCCUGCCCCUGCUCCUGUCCUGCCCCGUCCCUGCCCCUGUCCUGUCCCUGCCCCUGUCCUGUCCCUGCUCCUGUCCUGCCCCUGCCCCUGUCCUGUCCCUGCUCCUGUCCUGCCCCUGCCCCUGCUCCGUCCCUGCUCCUGUCCUGUCCCUGCCCCGUCCUGCCCCUGCCCCUGUUCCUGUCCCCCCCCUGCCCCGUCCCUGUCCUGCCCCUGCCCCUAUCCCGCCCCUGCUCCUGUCCUGCCCCCGCCCCCGUCCUGCCCCUGCCCCUGGAGCAAAGCACUUGUGUGGGCAAGGAGGAGUGUGCGAUCCCCGCCGCCGGGAGCCCCUCCUCCGGCCGUGUGCCGAUCCCGGGGGUCCGGAGGGUGGGACGGGCUGGGAUGUGGAUGUGGACGGGAGCGGGUGUCCGUGCGGGCUCCUCCGCGGGCUGCCGCUGCCCCCCGCCUCAUCCCGCCCCUCACCCCCGGGACCCCCCCGCCCCCCCCCUCCGACCGCCCCGCUCCCCCCAUCGCCCCCCGCCCCAGGACCCUCCGACCCUGGGGUCCCCCUUCUAGCCUGCGAGCCCGUCGUCGGGCGGGACUGGUCUCUCUCUGUUGCCCAGUUGUCCGUUCCAAGCCCGGAGCCCAGUGCUCCGCACAGAGUGGGCGCUCAAUAAAUCCCACUGAAUAA